Molecule: long non-coding RNA, 617 nt
Filed under: Cyanistes caeruleus (blue tit)
Lineage: Eukaryota; Metazoa; Chordata; Aves; Passeriformes; Paridae
Description: lncRNA (ENSCCEG00000020135.1)
Source: RNAcentral
AUGUCACACCUGCACUGUGAAGAACUCAUGGUGACAUUGAGGCCAUUUAAUUUUGGACCAUAUAUUCUUAUUAUGUGGCAGAGACUAAUAACUUUUAACAGUACCACAGGUACUGGGAUAUCCCUUGUUUUGCUUGGGCAGCCUUGGCGAGGGGCAGGAGCUUGUGGGCACACGUGGCUAGUGUGCUUUGUGUGCCUUAUGUGCCUUGCCUCCUGUGGUUUUUGUGCUUUGUGUGCCCUGCGUGUUGGUGGCUCUGGCUCCGAGUCCGGUGUCGCCAUACCCAGCCCUGGUGCCCGGGCUGUGUGCUCUGCGUGUCUGUGCUGUGUCCGUGAGGCUGCGGGGCAUAGCGAGAAGGAAUUCCCGUUGAGUGUGCUGACAUCUUGUGGCUGGAUGGAUAUUUCAACAAGUCAUGUGUAUGCUGAGGGGAGGCAAUUCCUGCACAGCAUCUUGGGAUCUCCUGCUCUUCUUGAAGUCUUCAGCCAAAGGCCCCAUGCUGAGAAACAUUUUGAAUUUGACUACACAACAUUGAUUGUUUUUCUUCUUUCUCGGUUGGAUUUUCUUAUUUCACCUCAAGCCCCAUAAUUUUGGGGGAAAAAUAAAUACAUUUAUUUUCUUCA